RNAcentral lists this ribosomal RNA (498 nucleotides) under uncultured bacterium. RNAcentral describes it as "partial 16S ribosomal RNA". It matches the Rfam family "Bacterial small subunit ribosomal RNA", at positions 29 to 523 of the family's 1533-position model. The record is from RNAcentral.
AUUGAACGCUGGCGGCAUGCCUUACACAUGCAAGUCGAACGGAUUUUGGGGCUUGCUCCAAAGCUAGUGGCGAACGGGUGAGUAAAGCAUCGGAACGUACCCAGUCGUGGGGGAUAACGUAGCGAAAGUUACGCUAAUACCGCAUACGAUCUGAGGAUGAAAGCGGGGGACCUUCGGGCCUCGCGCGAUUGGAGCGGCCGAUGUCGGAUUAGCUAGUUGGCGAGGUAAAGGCUCACCAAGGCGACGAUCCGUAGCUGGUCUGAGAGGACGACCAGCCACACUGGGACUGAGACACGGCCCAGACUCCUACGGGAGGCAGCAGUGGGGAAUUUUGGACAAUGGGCGAAAGCCUGAUCCAGCCAUGCCGCGUGAGUGAAGAAGGCCUUCGGGUUGUAAAGCUCUUUCAGACGGAAAGAAAUCGCUCGGGUGAAUAUCCCGGGAGGAUGACGGUACCGUAAGAAGAAGCACCGGCUAACUACGUGCCAGCCGCCGCGGUAA